CCCGAUAUUGCUGACACCCGAAUGCACAUUCGUUCAAUAAACCCUCUUGCUUUUGCAGGUGAUUCUUAUUGGAGAACAUUUAUAGGAUUGGUGAGUUUGGUGGAGAGAGUGGGAAUAUCCUCUUGAUCUUACUGUUACUUUUGCAAUAAGAUGUGGACAUGCAGACUCCUUGUAUUGGUUGUAUAUUUGGUGAAGCUCAGAAUAUACCACCCGGUGCAAACCUGGUGUUUUCAGAAUCACCAGUAAGGCUCACCAGGCUGGAGCCAUGGUUGUUGGAUACAGGGUAGGCCUGGGACCUAGGGCGGGAAUGAGAAGGGUCAGGCAGACUCACAAAGAUGGAUCAGAGAAUGGGAUUUGUGGAUCUGGCCUAAGCAGGUGUAAAAUGUCUGAGGAAGGAGUAUGACAGGGAGUACAAGUAUAUCAUUUGCAUUUCCAUUCCAUAUUGGCUAGCUGGAAGAUUCCUAAGAUUCAAGAGUCCAAGGCUCCAGGCUCUGGCAAGUCACAAAUGGAGGAAAAUGACCCCAGAGAAGGUCAUGAUCCCUGGAAAGCAGUCACAGGAAAACUGGAGUUGGAUUCAAUAAAGUCUCAAUCUUUCCUGUCCUACAAGAUUGAGGAUGUCAGAGAUGUCUUUCACUAAGUUGUGACUGAAUAAAAAUUUCUAAGAAAUGAGGGAGAGUAACUAGUUAAAGGAACCAUGAAGGAAAAGGACCCCCGUAUCCCAGACACAUCCCAGAGUCAAUAAGCAUCUGACAUUUAGAAAACAAGCACUCCACAGAGAAGAAACUGCCAGGAGGAGGAGGGAAGAAAGAUUUAUUCACCUC
RNAcentral lists this long non-coding RNA (821 nucleotides) under Cricetulus griseus (Chinese hamster). RNAcentral's name for it is "lncRNA (ENSCGRG00015035956.1)". The record is from RNAcentral. Lineage: Eukaryota; Metazoa; Chordata; Mammalia; Rodentia; Cricetidae.